Molecule: long non-coding RNA, 639 nt
Filed under: Mytilus galloprovincialis (Mediterranean mussel)
Lineage: Eukaryota; Metazoa; Mollusca; Bivalvia; Mytilida; Mytilidae
Source: RNAcentral
GUGGGCUCACGACAACACUACUUAGUUUCCAACUGAAAAUUUCUGUUUGAAGUACCUAAAAUAAUAUGAUGUCCAAGCACAGAAUUUAAAAGACAGUGCUUAUGUGGGCUCACGAUUACAACCAGUAGAAGUUAAACGAUAUAGCAAAGAUAAUUAUAUAUAUAUAUCGGCCAUUCACCAGUUACACUCAAAUUUUCCCAACAUUGAUUGAACAAUAAUACAAUGUUCAUCUAAAAAUGAGAUAUUGUAUGAUUGUAAAUGAGACAGCUUUUCACCAAAGACAAAAAGAUCAGAUGUAAACAAAUACAUAUAACUAUACGUUCGGCUAUCGGCAAUUAAAAAACCCCAUAUCGUAUAGUAAACUAUAAAAGACACCGGCAUAACACAAUGUGAAGUAAAUCGAAAGAGAAAAUAAAUCCAUGUUGAUACAAUAACCUCAACACAUUGUGCAGUAGGCGAAAAAAAAGAGCCUCCGUUUAAAAUGCUCCUGACUUUUCCUUUCAAAGAUUAGCACAUUUGUUAUAUAUCUUUUUAGUAUUAAAAAAAGAAACAAAACUACUCAAUUGAUGAACUGAAAAUUUCUGUAAAAGUAAUUAAAGUCAUAUGUUCCAAGGUGAAAGAGUGCACUGCCGGAAAACG